RNAcentral lists this long non-coding RNA (257 nucleotides) under Chinchilla lanigera (long-tailed chinchilla). RNAcentral's name for it is "lncRNA (ENSCLAG00000023969.1)". Lineage: Eukaryota; Metazoa; Chordata; Mammalia; Rodentia; Chinchillidae. The record is from RNAcentral.
UUCCCUACAAAUCCUUCUGCCUUGUCUUUUGUUCAUGUUUUGUUUGCAGGAAGAAUUGAGAAAGGCAAGGAUAGGAAGUGGAUAUGGCUUAUGAAGCUUGGAGAAACUUUACCCACUCCGCACGGUUUUGCCAUUAGCUUCUGGUUCAAGCGAAAUGCCUUCCCCGCUGCCCUACCAUACAAGGAAAUUGAGGCCUUGGAAGGUUAAACCAGCCUAGCGUCAGAGAACACAGUCUGUCCUGAGUUCUGACUGCUGCU